AUGAUCAUGCAGAUGCUGGAUCUCCAGUCCACUAAACCGAGAACGUUCGUCAAAGCUGUUUUUGUCCAAAUGCUUUCAGAGGAUGAAUGGGCAUUUGAUCUGCUCUACUGUGUUGCUUUCCUUGUGAUGGACAAGCAGUGGGUAGAGAAGAACGCUUCUUACAUGGACUUCAAUGAGAUACUGAAGUCAACUCGAGCGCAGCUGGAGAAGGAGCUUCUGCUGGAGGAUGUGCUGAGGAUUGAAGAUAUGCCAUCAUACAGACUGCUUUGCUAG
RNAcentral lists this ribosomal RNA (273 nucleotides) under Triticum aestivum (bread wheat). RNAcentral describes it as "partial small subunit ribosomal RNA". The record is from RNAcentral. Lineage: Eukaryota; Viridiplantae; Streptophyta; Magnoliopsida; Poales; Poaceae.